This 450-nucleotide ribosomal RNA is filed under the name uncultured bacterium. RNAcentral's name for it is "partial 16S ribosomal RNA". It matches the Rfam family "Bacterial small subunit ribosomal RNA", at positions 354 to 796 of the family's 1533-position model. The record is from RNAcentral.
GUGGGGAAUUUUGGACAAUGGGCGCAAGCCUGAUCCAGCAAUGCCGCGUGCAGGAAGAAGGCCUUCGGGUUGUAAACUGCUUUUGUACGGAACGAAAAGGCUCUGGUUAAUACCUGGGGCUCAUGACGGUACCGUAAGAAUAAGCACCGGCUAACUACGUGCCAGGAGCCGCGGUAAUACGUAGGGUGCAAGCGUUAAUCGGAAUUACUGGGCGUAAAGCGUGCGCAGGCGGUUUUGUAAGACAGACGUGAAAUCCCCGGGCUCAACCUGGGAAUGGCGUUUGUGACUGCAAAGCUGGAGUGCGGCAGAGGGGGAUGGAAUUCCGCGUGUAGCAGUGAAAUGCGUAGAUAUGCGGAGGAACACCGAUGGCGAAGGCAAUCCCCUGGGCCUGCACUGACGCUCAUGCACGAAAGCGUGGGGAGCAAACAGGAUUAGAAACCCUAGUAGUCC